ACACAAUGUCAUCCGACUUCUCCUUGCCUCUCUCUUUCCCUUUCUCUCUCUAACUUCAUAAGUAGCUAGUUUGCUCUGAGCUCCACUGUUAACUUACCACACACUACUCUCUCUCUCUCUCUCUCUCUCUCUUCAACCAUGGCUGCCCUUGCUAUUGCAGCUCUGCUUCUCUUAGCCAUGGCUGGCCAGUCAAGUAAGAACACAUUUAUGUAUUUUCCAUAUUUUUCUUUUGGUGAAAUGGGUGUUUUUUUCUCUAUACCAUAUUUCCUAUAUCUAAUGAAGCCAAUAAACUAUUUUAAUUUUUUUUAAAUGCCAUUUUUCCUUACUAGUAAUGCGUUCAUUUUUCCUUGUUUGUUUCUAAUUUCUAACUUGUAUUUAUGUUAAAAGAUUUCAUAUUUCUCUUAAAGUUUGCAUUUUUGGGGUUUCAAAUAAAAAGAAAAAAAGAUCUGGUCUUUGGUCUUCCUGCCAUAUAUAAACUCACCCCUUUUAAUAUUUUGAGAGUCUGAUUUAUUUAUUUCUGGGAAUUGUAUUUGUGUAGGAGCAAACUGGUGUGUUUGCAAAGAUGGAGACCCUGCAGCCCUGCAGAAGGCAUUGGACUAUGCCUGUGGAGCCGGGGCAGAUUGCAACCCCAUAAAACCCAAUGGAGUUUGCUACAACCCCAACACUAUCAAAGCUCACUGCAGCUACGCCGUCAACAGCUACUUCCAGAAGAAGGGCCAAUCCACCGGUACUUGUGACUUUUCUGGCGCUGCAACCCCUACUACCUCCGAUCCAAGUAAGUCCCUAAAUCCUUCUCUUUUGGGUUUAAUUUUAUUGGCUUUUUGGUUGAUUUUUUUGCGUAUAAAUUAAUUAGAUUAAAGAUUAAAGGUGGUAACUUUUUUUAAUUUCAUGGUGUUUUUACAGGCUCAAAUGGUUGUACCUACCCUGCCAGUGCCAGGUAUGGUUAAUUUGCACCAAUUUUUUUUUCCUUCUGUUUUUCAAGGGUUUUAUUUUAUUUUUGUAUAUUUAUUUUUGUUAAUUAGUAUUUAGUGCUGCUUUAAUCUUUUGAAUGUCUUCAAUUUGGGAGGGGAAUUCUUUUCCCUCCUAAUCUUUUUUCCUUUCCUUUUCUUGUAUUUAAACGGUUACAGUUCAUCACGUUAACAUCUUAUAUUAAUUUUUUUUAUAAAAAUAAUAAAAUAAAAAUAUUAUGUGAGGAGGAGAGGGAAGUUGAUGGAAAUAGGAGUGAGAGAAUCGUCCUCCAUCAAUUUGAUGUCCGACACUCCACAGUCCACAGUACUUACUCUCUGGAUUUCAAAUUUUAGGGUAGGGCAGAAACACUUGAUUAUAAAACAUAAGUAGAACUGUAGCAAAAAGCACUUUUAUUAAAAGACAAAAUAUGACUUGAUGGGACAAAGAGUUACCCUACUCCUCUUAGUUAUAUGACUGUAAAAAACUUGGGUUAAUAUUUUAUUCUGCUGUCUUGUUACAUUCCAUUAACUGAAGGAGAAAAUUUUCAGUAUCGGGAACAUGAUCUCAUACACCUAGUGUCAUUUUAUAAAAAAAUUCUAAUUAUUUAUAUCAUCCAAUUUUUAAAGAAGUUUUAACGAAAAGCUCGUGAUAUAAUUUAUUUUAACGAAAAAUCAUAUUUUUACAUUAAAAAGUCAAAUAUGAUACUAUUUAUUUUAUUUUUUAUUUUAUUUUUAUUGUUAAAACUUAAAGUUUUCAGUUUUUUUUUUGUUAGUGCCGUUGCAUUGUUGGAAAGGGACCAAUAGGCAUCAUUGCCUAUGCCUUUAUCAUUGAAAAAAGGAUGCGUUUUUGAACUAAUCACUAUUUUUAUUUUAAUACAUUCAUCAUAAAAAUGAUUUCUUCACGAAUUUUUUCUUCUUCUUCACUCCGUGUCCUGAUUUUCGUUUGCUUUAUUUCAUUCAAAGGCGUAAAAUAGAUACAAGUGUGUGCAUAAGAAGAAUAAUUGAGGUGCGGAAAUCAUUUUCCUUUCAAUAUACCUUAUAAUUAUUAUCCAACACCCUCCUUUUUCAUUUUGCUUUGUUCAGUCUAAUUGAGUCUUUUUAUGGUUUGACUAGUAUUGUAAUUUGCAUUAUGAUUCAUGGCUCAUUGCCCAUAUUUUGGUAGUGGAGCUCAGUAAAUUUUUCCAAAUAAUUGGGCAUCCAAUGCUUUUUUUUACCCCACAAAGGGGAGAAAAGGUUUAAUCUUGUUGAAAAUAAAGGUAAAAGGGGUAAAAAAAGAUGUCACAGAAUUACCAUCUUGCCCAUGGCAAACAAAGACGUUACCUUUUUGGCUUCAGGCGCCGUACACUGCAUUUUUCACGUUAUGCAAUACAUUGUCUGAUCAGAGUCAAAAAUUCAAAAGUAGUGGCCACAUACAUCUGUGGUAAAAGAGCUUUUGUCCUCGUAUAUGCUUUGGGAUGCUCAUUCUUUUGGAGAUUUGAGCCUUCUUUUCUGAAGUUUUGUAUUCUCGCCGGCCGUGCCUUUUUAAUCCCCUCUCCACCAUGGUUUAAAUUUGCCUAAUAAGCUCUGGAUGCGGCGUCUCGGACUAAUAAUGCAAUGCAUUGCAAUAUCAUGUGUUUUAAUUUUUUUAGAAAAGAAAUUAGGAACAAUUGUGCAUGAGUUUUAUGAAUCUUAUCCGCAACACGUGCAUGGCCGUCUGGGACGCCAACAGAAAUAUAGUGCCGAGUGUUUUAACUUCCUCACGCGGCAUUGUAUUAUUGGUGGCAUUCUAGAUGACGCAUGUAUUAUUGUUCCUUAUUUCUCUCCUUUUGCUUUAAACUUUUUACCAGGUUUAUGAUGCUCUACAUUUGAUCCAUCUCAUUCAACUGUAAAAUAUUUCAAACAUUUUUAAUUAGUACUUUAGGUAAUUUUUUAAUUCAAAAGCUUUCCGGAAAGGCCUUUGAAUCUUUGGUGCUAAUGUACUUUAACUGCUUUUGUUUAAAAUAGUGUGCUCCCUCCUCUCAUACAUUAGUGGAUUUGGACGCAGUAUGCAGAUGGGGCCUACCAUAUUUAUAUUAGUGGUUAAUUAAUAAUUAUCCCCUCUCAAACAAUGUUUAGGAGAAAUAUUUCAAUUGGCUGGGAAGACAGUAUGAUAUAUCAAGUGUCAUAAUACAAGUGGAGGGAAAGUUAUUUUUCGUAAAUGUCCAACUACUUGUAUUGUGAUACUUGGCGUAUCGGGCCUGGCGUAUCGGGCCUGUGUUCUCGGCAUGCUGAAAAAUCUCUCCUAAACAAAGUACUUCAACGGAAUAGGAAAUCAAUAGCCUUUGAAUCCGAGGUAAGUGACUGAUCUUCAAUGGAGGAUCACAUUUUGCUGAAACGGCGUAUGUUUAUGUGAAAAUCUCAAGUGAGUCAUAGUUUUCUUCCGAACAAGGAAAAUAAGGAGUCAAUGACGUCAAAGCGACAUACUUCUAGGCGUGUCAGUCAGCAUAGUUUUGUUGAUCAGGCAUAAGUUUAAAUGAGCUUAUAUGAUUGUACAUGCCUAAAUAUGAUCUGGGAAUAUAUUAUGUUUUCUUGGGUCAUGACAGUGUAGCAUGGCAUAAAAAGUUCAUUGGCGUUCUAGGAUUCAUACAGCCAACCCCAUUUAGUGGAAUAAGGCUUUAUUGUUGUUGUUGUCUUCGUUAUUGAAUGCAACUUUGAAUAGUUAUUCAUCUCUGUGAACUAGUUUUUGAAUAAAGAUUAAAGCUUGCUUUACCAGCAUCUCUUAAGGUUGACUGCUUUUGCAAUAACAUGCUUGUUCCUUUACAUCCAAUUUCAUAUGAUGGAGAUUAUCUAUCCGGAAGAGUGCUGUGUAGGAUCUCCGAUGAGCUUUAUGCUGCACGGUCUCUGUUCAGGCACUGCAUAACCAUAUGGCAUUGUAAAUUUUCGUGUAAAAUUAUUACUUGUUUAUCUUCCAUGAGUUAUUUCGUAUUCUCUCAUUCUGUAUGCUUCACAUGAUCGUGUGCGUGCAGCUUCGAUUCUGGCAUUUCUAUUUGUUGUGUUUGGUGUGUUAAAUAUUGCUUUUCUUUGUCCUUCAGCUCCUCAGGCACAACUCCGACAACACCAUCUACUGGAACCGGCACAACCCCAAGCACCGGAACUACCCCUACCACCGGCACAACCCCUACCACUGGCACAACCUCUACCACUGGCACUACCCCUACCACCGGCACAACACCUACAGGCGCCACCCCAUACACGGCAACUCCUGGAGUACUAGGAGGCACUGGCAUGGGAAUAGGGCCAUCGGGAGCUGGCAUCAACACGGACGACAGCGGUGUGAUUAGACCUGUUGACACUACUAGCUUGUUUUCUUCUCUCCUAACCCUAUUCUUCUCAGGCUUGAUGCUUUGGUGGGACUGAAAAGGAAUUUAGUGGACGUGAGGAGGAGGUGGGGUAGGAUGUGCAAAUAUGAACAUCAUUUGGGACAUCCUUGCUAGGGUUGGAGGCAUCCAAACAUAGGCCUCACUACAGACUUUAGGACAAAACAUUCAGAAAGCUCAUGUACACGUAUGUAUACAUACAUUUAUAUAUAUAUAUAUAUAUAUAUAUAUAUAUAUAUGUGUGUGCGCGCGCAUAAUUACUUUUGUAAUGUGGUUCCACCCUGAACACGUAGAAAUGGAACUUGACUUCAACUAUAUAUGGAUGCCUUCAACCUUAAAGCUGUAUCACGUGGAUGGAAACAAAAUUCAUUUGGGCAGGGCUUCGAAUUUGGCCUUGAUUCGUGGUUGUGGGCAAUAUUUAUCGUUGGAGUGGGUCGAAUUCACUUCCUACAACUCGUCUUCCAUGAUGGUUGUGCGCUCCCGACUUGCCCGCGGCUGAGCCGCCUUACUAGGCCACACCUGUGGUGUAUUUUCGAUGUAGGCAACAGAUCUGUCUAGCGGCGGUGUUGCCCUUGCUAUGAAGACGAGCUGAUUUGUGGUUGUAUUCUUGGAUUAAAUAAUUUUAUUGUUUUGUGAUUGCUUCGACAACUUGUUGUGGCCUCGCUUGUUUGAGCGACGGCUUUGUGUGGACAUUGCGUACCAAAUUUGAUGUCAUUAUCGUCUUUGCAUUAGAUUUGAUCACUGGAGAAUAUGUACCUAAUAUGGCACCCUCUUGUAUUGUUCGGUUCUUCUCUCCUGUAUUGUUCGGUUCUUAUGAAUGAAGUCACUCUACCGUUGCCCUUCAAAACAAAAUUCAUUUAUUUUAAUUUUAUUAAGUAUACAUACGAACGUACAUUCUUAAAUUUAUAAGAUGAUGUAUCGUUAAUGGGUCAUUUGUUGAUAUUGUCGAUACUCUUGAUGAACUUGGUUGCGUAAAGAGCAGCUAACCUCCAUUAUAUUGAGGUCUCAAUCUUAGUAAGAGAGCAAUAUAAUUUUUAUCAAAUUUAAGGGCGGAGUAUUUUUGGAGCUAUAUAAUUUACAUCAAAUCCAGCAAUAAAAAAGGCAGUGGACUGCAUGUAAUUAGGCCUGGCAAUUCCUGACACGACCCGAUAACCUGACACGACACGACACGAAAUUAACAGGUGUUCGGGUCGACACGAUAACGAAACGGGUCGUUAUCGGGUAACCCGAUAAGCACCUGUUAAGAUAACGGGUUUGUUCGGGUAUACACGUGGGUAACACGAUACACGAUAAGUAGAAUAUUAAUUUAAUAAUUUAUAACCCUAAAAAAAUACUAUAAUAAUAUAUAUAUAUAUAUAUAUAUAUAUUAAUUUAACAAUUUUAUACCCCUAAAAACUAUAAUAAUUAUAUAUAUAUAUUAAAUUAACUAUAAUAAUUAUACCCAAAAUAUUAACUAUAAUAAUUAUAUAUAUAUAUAUUAAAUUUUAUACCCCUAAAAACUAUAAUAAUUAUACAUACAAAAUAAAUAGAUUUAAAUCUACUUAAUAAAUAAAUACAUAUACACCCACACACACACCAUUGAACUUCAUGGGAUACGAAUUAUACGAAAUUAAUUUCAACGAUCCAACCGUCAAACAUGUUUGUAUAUACUUCGAGAUCUCAUACGUCAAAAAUUGCAAAAAAAAACAUUCAGAGACCAAGUAACGGGACAAAACUUUUCGACGGUUAUAAACGAAAAAUCACGAUUUAACGGUCAUUUUAACUCCGAUUUUGAUGAUUUUUUACAACCACACUCCUUGACCCUAUAUGAAUACAAUGAUUGAAUUCGAUCUUCAAUUUAAAAUAUUUACACUAGUGGAUCUUAUGUUAUACUUAAUAAAAGUAUGAAUAAACUUUUAAGUAUUAGUGAAUCUAUUGUUUUGAUGGGAUACUCAUUCUACAAAACUAGUUUCAAUGAUCCAACCGUCAAACAUGUUUGUAUAUACUUCGAGAUCGCAUACGCCAAAAAUUGCAAAAAAAAACAUUUAGAGAUCAAGUAACGGGACAAAACUUUUCGACGGUUAUAAACGAAAAAUCACGAUUUAACGGUCAUUUUAACUCCGAUUUUGAUGAUUUUUUACAACCACACUCCUUGACCCUAUAUGAAUACAAUGAUUGAAUUCGAUCUUCAAUUUAAAAUAUUUACACUAGUGGAUCUUAUGUUAUACUUAAUAAAAGUAUGAAUAAACUCUUAAGUAUUAGUGAAUCUAUUGUUUUGAUGGGAUACUCAUUCUACAAAACUAGUUUCAAUGAUCCAACCGUCAAACAUGUUUGUAUAUACUUCGAGAUCGCAUACGCCAAAAAUUGCAAAAAAAAACAUUUAGAGAUCAAGUAACGGGACAAAACUUUUCGACGGUUAUAAACGAAAAAUCACGAUUUAACGGUUAUUUUAACUCCGAUUUUGAUGAUUUUUGACAACUACACUCCUUGACCCUAUAUGAAUACAAGUAAUGAAUUCGAUCUUCAAUUUAAAAUAUUUACACUAGUGGAUACCACAAAAUCUUAUGUUAUGCUUAAUAAAAGUAUGAAUAAACUAUUAAGUAUUAGAGAAUCUAUUGUUUUGAUGGGAUACUCAUUCUACGAAACUAGUUUCAAAGAUCCAACCGUCAAACAUGUUUGUAUAUACUUCGAGAUCGCAUACGUCAAAAAUUACAAAAAACAAACAUUCAGAGAUCAAUUAACGGGACAAAACAUUUUGACGGUUAUAAAAAGAAAAAUCAUGAUUUAACGGUCAUUUUAACUCUGAUUUUGAUGAUUUUUUGUAGCUAAACUCCUUGACCUUAUAUGAAUACAAUGAUUUAAUUCGAUCUUCAAUUUAAAAUAUUUACACUAGUGGAUACCACAAAAUCUUAUGUUAUACUUAAUAAAAGUAUGAAAUAAACUAUUAAGUAUUAGUGAAUCUAUUGUUUUGAUGGGAUACUCAUUCUACGAAACUAGUUUCAAAGAUCCAACCGUCAAACAUGUUUGUGUAUACUUCGAGAUCGCAUACGUCAAAAAUUACAAAAAACAAACAUUCAGAGAUCAAUUAACGGGACAAAACUUUUCGACGGUUAUAAAAAGAAAAAUCACGAUUUAACGGUCAUUUUAACUCUAAUUUUGAUGAUUUUUUGCAGCUACACUCCUUGACCUUAUAUGAAUACAAUGAUUGAAUUGGAUCUUCAAUUUAAAAUAUUUACACUAGUGGAUACCACAAAAUCUUAUAUUAUACUUAAUAAAAGUAUGAAUAAACUAUUAAGUAUUAGUGAAUCUAUUGUUUUGAUGGGAUACUCAUUCUACGAAACUAGUUUCAAAGAUCCAACCGUCAAACAUGUUUGUAUAUACUUCGAGAUCGCAUACGUCAAAAAUUACAAAAAACAAACAUUCAGAGAGCAAGUAACGGGACAAAAGUUUUCGACGGUUAUAAACGAAAAAUCAUGAUUUAACGGUCAUUUUAACUCCGAUUUUGAUGAUUUUUUACAACUACACUCCUUGACCCUAUAUGAAUACAAUGAUUUAAUUCGAUCUUCAAUUUAAAAUAUUUACACUAGUGGAUACCACAAAAUCUUAUGUUAUACUUAAUAAAAGUAUGAAUAAACUCUUAAAUAUUAGUGAAUCUAUUGUUUUGAUGGGAUACUCAUUCUACGAAACUAGUUUCAAUGAUCCAACCGUCAAACAUGUUUGUAUAUGUUUCGAGAUCGCAUACGCCAAAAAUUGCAAAAAACAAACAUUCAGAGAGCAAGUAACGGGACAAAACUUUUCGACGGUUAUAAACGAAAAAUCACGAUUUAACGGUUAAUUUAACUCCGAUUUUGAUGAUUGUUUACAACUACACUCAUUGACCUUAUAUGAAUACAAUGAUUGAAUUCGAUCUUCAAUUUAAAAUAUUUACACUAGUGGAUACCACAAAAUCUUAUGUUUAUACUUAAUAAAAGUAUGGUAUAGUACUAUUGUUUUAUUUUUUUUUCAUAAUUAUUUUGGUAAACUUCUCAUAAUUUGAAUGAUUUUUAAUGUUUGGUUUUUCUAUGCUUAGUUUAUGCAGAAGAGAGUUAUGACGUGGAAAACCUUACUGAAAACAUCAUCAACAUAACUCUUGAAGGCAAUAGAUCAAGCCAAAGUUCCAAUGCAAUUUCAUGAUGAUCAAUGUAAAUCGAGGAUUUUGUAAAUUGAGGUUUAAACUUUUGAGAAAGAUUUCACAACCUUGAAAACAAAAACUGUUUCAUUUUGCAUAUCCUUGCACAUUUAAAAUUUGUAAUAGAUUAGUAGUGUAUGUAUUAUUUUUUUAUUAGGCUCUUAUUUUCGAGUGUAGAUGUAGUACUUAAACAACAAAUGUAUUUUAAUGUUUUGAAGUAAUAUUUAUGUGGCAAUGUGUGGUAUGUGCAAAUUUAAGAAAAAAAAUAUAUUUUUCUUAACGGGUCAUAACGGGUGUGACACGACACGACCCGUUAAGAUAACAGGUGUUACACGAAAACGACACGAACACGACUGACACGACCCGUUUGCCAGGCCUACAUGUAAUGUAACACUAUGUUUGGAUGAAGAAAUUUAAGAUUACUAAGAAAUUUUAAAAUGACAGAAAUUGAAAUGACGAGAUUUUAUUUUCUAGAAUUUGUGAAUUUUCUUGUUUGAUUAAUCUAAAAACAUAAAGGGAGUUGAAUACGAAAUUUGUUAUUUUUAAGCUCUCAACCAUAGAAAUUGGGAAAUGACACCUAUUUACAUGAAAUUUAAACUUGGAAAUUAGAGGUCCCAAAUUCCAAGUUCUUUUCCACACGGAAAUUCUAAAUUUCUAUAUUUAUGAAUCCAAACAGAGAAAUUGGUGUAUGUCAAUUUAUAAAUUCUGACUUUUAUCUAAAUUUCAAGUUUAUUUUCCUCAUCCAAACAUAGUGUAACAGAAAAUUUAGCAUGUUCCGAUAAAUCACGCACACAAAUUUUAGCCGUUAAAACUGAACUUUUAGCAGUUAUAAGCGAGAUUUUAACCGUUAGAUCUUUAAUCAGGAUAAACAAUAAGAUACACCGAAGCAUAUUACAAAGGACUUUUAAUUAUACAAAGCAACCCGGUACAAGAGAAAUAAGACUCAAAAAACACAGUUUAAACAGUUUGAACAUCAUUACAGACGCUGCAGAAAACACAACAGUUUCCUUACAAGUUCACAACCUAUUUUACUCAUCCAUUUCCUCAAUCUUCAUCUUCUUCACAGCCUGAUCGGCAUCGCAUCCGACUUCUGCCCCAUCGCCGCAUCCACAAGCCCUCCGUUCUUCUCAACCCUGUACACAAGCCCGCUUCCGCUUGGCGCUGCAUCUAUGAACACGGUCGAGUUUUCAUCUAUUUCUUCUCGCACAAGCAUCCGCGACAACUCCUUCACCACCUUCUUCUCCAGCCAUCUCCUAAUAGGUCUGGCACCGUAAACCUGAAAACGAAAAAAGAGUACUUGUUUAGUGUUUCAUAUCACACAGGAGAAUGCAGAGAAAAUAUUUUUGGAUUCGUAAAACCGAUACUCACGGGAUCAUAACUCUCGCCCAGAAUGUAAUCCAACGCUGCAUCGGUGACUGCCAUAGCAAUGCCCUUCUCGGCCAGUCGGGCUGCAACAUCUUUCAUUUGCAAUCUGGCAACCUUCCUCAGUUGAUCGCGAGAGAGAGGGUCAAAUACAACAAUCUCAUCGAGAUGGUUCAGCAGCUCAGGGCUAAAGUGCCUUCUCACCUAUUCAAGAACCAAACUAGUUAAGUAUUGAAAGAACGAAGCGAUACGCAAUCAUAAUUCAAAUUUGGGGUAACCAAAGAUGAUACCUCUUUCAUAACUUCAUCGUGAGCAACCUGCAUCGAGCACUUGCCCAUCGAACCGGAGAGGAGAUGUUCUGCUCCCAAGUUUGAAGUCAUGACAAUCACCGUGUUUCUGAAAUCAACUGUACGGCCUUGUCCAUCGGUUAGUCUUCCAUCAUCCAAGACUUGCAGGAGUGUGUUGAAAGCAGCGGUGUGAGCCUUCUCCACUUCAUCAAACAAUACAACACUGUAAGGCCUCCGCCUCACGGCCUCCGUGAGUUGCCCGCCUUCAUUGCGACCAAUAUACCUGUAAAAUAUGAAUGAGUCAGAAUUCAUAAUGCAGCAGCGGAGCUCACAAACAUGCUUGAGCGAAGAAAACUAUGAAUGCAAUUACCCAGGGGGAGUGUCAAUUAAGCGCGAGACAGAAUGUUGUUCCAUAUACUCGGACAUGUCAAUUCUGACAAUCAGAUUCUCGUCAUCAAAAAGUUGUUCAGCAAGCGCCUUCGCAAGCUCGGUUUUACCGACACCAGUUGGGCCCAAGAAGAGGAAUGAACCAGUAGGUUGUUGUGGCCUUCCUAGCCCCGCUCUUGACAUUAAAACCGCCUCGGCGACAGCAUCAACUGCCUGGUCUUGCCCCACUACUCUCUUAUGCAACCUUUCCGCAAGUCCAAUUAACCUUUCCUUGUCAUUCUGGCCAAGCCGUGUGACAGGUAUGCCGGUCCAACGGCUAACCACCUCUGCAAUUUGUUCUGGUCCAACCGUCUCUGUCAAAAUCAAGUUUUCGGCAGUACUACCUUCAAGCUUUGCAAUGGUGGUUUCCACUUCCUGAAUAGGGCCACAACUCAAGUCAGCAGCCCUAGCCAAAUCAUAUCUUCUUUCGGCCUCUGCUAAAGCUACCAAGAGCUCUUCACGCUUCUGCUUAAGCUUUCGAAGCUCGUCCACCCUUUCCUUCUCCUUUCGAUACUUCAUCACCAGUGGCUGAAGCUUGUCUCUCAGUUCAUCAAGCUCUUUUCGCACCUGAGAACAAAAUGGCAGGAACAACGAACACUCUCUAAGAACAAAGAAAGACUUCAUCAGACAAAUACUUUCUAAUAACUUAUGGAUCAAGUAAUCACCUCGACAAGACGAGCUUUGCUAGCUUUGUCCUUUUCUUUCUCAAGUGCAUGAAGCUCAACUUCCAGCUGCAUCCUCUUCCUUUCGAGGUUAUCGAUUUCUUCAGGUUGGCUGUCAAGUUGGACUCUCACAUUCGCACAAGCUUCGUCAACUAGAUCAAUCGCCUUGUCAGGGAGAUGUCGCCCUACAAAACAAAAGCAAAGAGGAAAACUUCAAUACCAAGUAAUUUUUUACAGAACGUUGAUUUCAAAAUUGAAAGCUUACAAAUCCCUAAACAUAGAAAAUAGACCACAAUUGUUAGCUAUUUCUAAUGUAGAGUAAAUUGUAGCAAUGAUCUCUCAACUAAAAAUUCAUUACCAUUGGUUCCUCAACUUAUCAAAAUGUGUAGCUAUAGUCAUUUUUAUCAAUUUCGUCAAAAUUUUGUCAAAAUAAGUUACGUUGGAAUAACCAUUUAUAUAAUUAGGGUCCCUCAACUCAUCAAAGUGUAAUUAUGGUCAUUUUCGUCAACUACAUCAAAAAUUUUGUCAAAAUGAGUUACGUUGGAAUGACCAUUGCUACAAUUAGGUUAGAGUUAAGAGGUCAUUUCUUCAGUUGAAUUAAAGUUGAGGGACCAAUGGUAAUGAAUUUUUAGUUGAGGGAGCAUAGCUACACAUUUUGAUGAGUUGAGGAACCAAUGGUAAUUGAUUUUUAGUUGAGGGACCAUUGCUUCAAUUCAAUUAAAAUUAAGGGAUCAUAGCUACAAUUUACUCUCUAAUUUAUACCUGUGAUGUAUCGACUCGAAAGCUGUGCAGCAACAACAAGAGUUCUGUCCAGAAUCCGAACACAGUGGUGAUCCUCAUACCUCUCUUUCAAACCUCGAAGGAUGCUAAUUGUAUCCGGAACACUAGGCUCCGCCACAUAAACCUGCUGGAACCUUCUCUCAAAUGCAGCAUCUUUGUCUACAUAUUUUCUGUACUCCUCAAGAGUUGUUGCGCCAAUGUACCGAAGUUGCCCCCGUGCGAGCGUUGGCUUGAACAGGUUGCCUGCAUCCAUGGAUCCUUCCGUCCUUCCGGCGCCAAGAACAAGGUGAAUUUCAUCAAUAAACAGAAUCACCUUCCCCUCAGCCUCUUCCACUUCCUUCACAACCGCCUUUAACCGCUCCUCAAACUUCCCUCGAUACUUGGCCCCCAUAUCCAAUGCAAUGAGCCUUACAUCAGCCAAAUUACUUGGGACAUCCCCGCCAACUAUCCUCUGAGCCAGCCCUUCAACCACAGCAGUCUUCCCAACUCCCGGCUCUCCAAUUAGAACAGGGUUGUUCUUAGUCCUCCUCGAAAGAAUCCUCACCACUCUCCUUAUCUCCUCGUCACGGCCAAUAACCGGGUCAAGUUUCCCGGCCUGCUCAACAAGGUCCCGUCCAUAAGUCUUCAAUGCCUGAAAUGUAGUAUCCCCAGAAGCACUCUCCACCUUCUUCCCUUCCUUCCCACGAAGCUUUUCGACUUCAGAUUUCAUUCUGGCCGUGGCAAUGCCGGCUUCCUUCAACAAGUCACCAAUCUGGGAAUCCUCAAGAAGACUAAAGAUCAACUGAUCAACGGCCAAGUGUGUGUCCCCUCUUGUCUUCUGCGCUGACUGAGCUCUCCUAAUCACUUUGAUGAGAGAUGAACUGGCUAGGAUUUCAUACGGCGGAGGUGACUGAGAUGGGAGCUUCUUCAGGGCCUGGUUGAACACCCUCUCCACAGACUUCGGAGUGUCAACACUGCCACCGGCAUUGGCAAUGGCUUGGUUGAAAAUGCCACUGGGAUCAGAUACCAAUGCUGUUGCAAGAUGGAGUGGCGUGAACUGCGCGUGGCCAGCAUCCAUGGCCAGGACAUGAGCUCCGGCAAUAGUCUCAUUGGUCUUGUGGGUAAACUUAUCAGGGUUCAUUUUCCUUCACCAAUUUAUGAUACCUAACAUGCACUGCAAACAACAUGGGUGAGAUAAUAAAAAAAAUGGAACUUUAACGAAAAGCACUGGUACUGUUUACUUUAACGAAAAAUCAUAAUUUUACACUAAAAAGUCAAUCUUAGUACUAUUCACUUUACCCUUUAUUUUGUCAUUAUCAUUAAAACUCAAAGUUUUCAAGCCCUUUUCAUUAGUUUUCCUUAAAAAAAAUGGUUCUUUAGAUUUAAACCCUUGCAAUUUUUAAACUCUAGAUAAAAAUCCAUAUAUAUUAUAACUUCUAAAUAAAACGCACAUUUUCAAUAUUAUGUCAUGUUGGAUAAAAGAUGUCCAUGAAUUUGUGUUUAUUUUCAAAAUCAUGUCACCAAAUCUCUUAUACGUUUCUUUUGGACAUUUAAUUUGUUUAACAUAUUUUAAAUUUUGUGUGAACUACUCCAAUCCAAAACCUAAGUAGAUCAAAUAUAUACGGACAUAUAUUCUACAUUUAUGUAUACUAAUACCAUAAAAAUAAGUAGGUAAAUUAAUUUUGUUACAAAUUUAAAAAGUAGGCACAUCAAUUUUCAUGUAAUUAUACAGUAGGUAAAUUAUUUUCAUCAAAUUAAACAUAUUGUUUUCAAAAAAUUAAUUUUCAUAGUAGGUAAAUUUUUUCAUGUAAUUAUAUAGUUGGUAAAUUAUUUUCAUCAAAUUAAACAGUAGAUAUUGUUUAAAAAAAUUAUUUUUCAUAGUUGGUAAACUAUUUUCAUGUAAUUAUAUUGUAGGUAUAAAAUUAAACAAUAGAUAUUGUUUUCAUAAAAUUAAUUUUCCUAGUAGAUAAAUUAUUUUCAUAAAAUUAAACAAUAGAUAUUGUUGAAAAUAAACACUAAAUUAGGUACAUUCAAAUUGAAAUUUACUGUCGAAAUUAAAAAAAAUUCCAAAUUAAUUCAUCCAUCUAGAACGAUAUUUCAUGGCUACAAGACCUUGCCAAAUUCAAUGCACGUGAUCAAUUAAAACAAAAUUACAAGAACUUUUCAUACUGGCUUAGAUGGGGUAUAUUAGGGAUCUAAAAAAUAUAGAAACGGACACACAAAUUUAAUUUGGUAAGUUGCUUAGUUGGAUCCUAAUCAUUAGGUUUUAUUCGGAUAAAUAUUAUAUGAUGGGCUUGAGGCUAGAAAAAAUGAGUUUGGAGGGGGAAAGUUAAAUUUCUCAGCUAAAAAAAUAAAAGAUGCAAUCAUUGAUCAUGUCUUCCCAAUUUACGAAAUUCUUGAACUUCUUCAAUUCUUUUUCCGAGAUUGAAAACUGACAGAGACUUUACUACUUCAAUUAAUUCGUUCAAAACCCAAAACCCAUAUGGAAAUCAACUCUAAAAACUCAAAUAUUCAUAGAGAGGGAAGCAAGAGAAAUCUUGGACGUACCUUUUGAGGAGGAAGCUGAAGCUUUUCUGCAACAAUGGCGGGUAAGUACACAAUUGCGUUUCAAUAAUUUGAUAUGGUAUUUCUUUCGGUUGAUCGAAUCGUUGAUUCGUAGUGAGUUUUUUCUGAUGGGUGCUUUGGGAGAGUGAGUGAGACUUUAAGGAGGAGAAACUCCAAUGUACGGGUACCUUAAAAAAUUUAUUGUGACACAUGAAUGCGAUGGUUCACACACCACAUUACUACUUUACAAAAAGAUGAUGUAUAAAUUGAUGACCAAGAAAUGAAUGCUGUUUGUAUUUUGACAAGAGGUAAAAUAGUUAAGGACUUCGUUACAAGUACAUAUAGUUUUGUAUCCAUAAUAUUAUUAGCAUAAAACGACACAGUGACAUAAAGAUAAGUUGCUUUCGGUAAAAAAAAAAAGUUUAGUUUUAGCUACGUAUUUUAGAACUCCAUUGUAUUGACUUUAUGCCUGUAACUAAAAAAAUGACUAAUUUACUUCUUAAAACUCAAAAUUUGCUCUACUUAGCUUGUGGACUUUCUAUUCUCCCUAAAACUUAUAGAUUGCUUUCUAAAACAUAUAUAUGAGCCAACAUUCAAUAAGAAUAUGCCAUAUGUGCAAUAAAUUUGAUUAUGAGUAAACAUUCAAUAAUCAGAUAAUAUUAAGUUUAAAAGAAAUUGAAGGGAUGAAAAAAAUUAGAAAGGAAAUUGAUUCGCCUGGCUCACUCAAAUCAAACCCACACAUAAGAAACUAUUGUAAGAUCCCAUAUCGCUCAAGGGAGUGAUCCUUAUAUGUAUAUCACAUCCCUACCUAGCACGAGGCCUUUUGGGAGCUCACUGACUUCGGAGUUCAUAGGAACUCGGAAGUUAAACGAGUAGCGCACGAGAGCACUCCUAUGAUGGGUGACCCAUUGGGAAGUUCUUGUGUGAGUUCCCAGAAACAAAACCGUGAGGGCAUAGUCGGGGCCCAAAGCGGACAACAUCGUACUACGGUGGUGGAGCGGGUCCGGGAUGUGACAACUAACAUAUCUAAGGUAAUAUGUCACGAAUCAAAUCGUGUCUAAUGGGGCAAAAUGCAAUGGAUUUUGAAUUCUAGAGAAUAAACUAACCACUUUUGAGUUACAAUGAAAAUAAAAUAAUUAAAUUAGAGUUCAGAAAAGCAUAACUAAAAUUAAGAAAUUACAAGCUUAUACCCGCCACACUCGAUAGCUGCUGGGUUAGGUCUUAGCAUGAGACACAUGGAAUCCUAUGUGAAUCAGCGAGGACCACCUUGCAAGGCUAAAUACUCAUGGGUGAUUGAUAUUGAAGUAGUACCGUGAGGGAAGGGUGAAAAGAAUCUCUAUUGGGGAGUGAAAUAGAACAUGAAACCGUAAUCGGCCACAUUAAAAUUACCUUAUGGGGAGGUCCGUUUGAUAUCCAAAAACUGCUUAGCAACAGUUGGGAUUUUUUACCUAAUUUAAAAUUUGAUAAUCAAGGAAUUUAUCUACUCCAUCUGACUAGUUCUGGGUUCGAGUCCUGGGCAACCCAUUAAAAUUAGCAUAUCAAAAUCAUGUGUAUAUAAAUCCUUUAAAUUCAUUUCAUUAAAAACUUGUUAAAAACUAUACACAUCGCGAGACGGAGAAAAAAGAAAAGGAAAACUAAUGAAAAGUGUCACAUCCCAAAUCGGCUCUGCCGUAGCACAAUAUUGUCCUUUUUGGGCCCCGGCCACACCCUCAUGGUUUUGUUUCUGGGAACUCAUACGAGAACGUCCAAGUGGGUCACCUAUCAUUGGAAUGCUCUCACUCAAACUUGGUUAACUUCGGAGUUCCAAUGGAAUCCGAAACCAAUGAGUUCCUAAAAAGCCUCGUGCUAUAUGGAGAUGGUCAUGUAUAUAUAAGGCACAUAACCCUCUCUCUGUUGGUCAAUGUGGAAUGUUACAAUCCACCCCCUUAGGAGGACGUUGACACACUUGCACCACACGACAGAGUGACUUUGAUACCAUUCUAUCACAUCCCAAACAGGCUCCGCUGUAACACAAUAUUGUCCUUUUUGGGCCUCUGCCACGACCUUACAGCUUUGUUUCUUGGAACUCAGACGAGAACUUCUCAGUGGGUCACCUAUCCUGGGAACGCUCUUACCCGAACUUGCUUAACUUCAGAGUUCCGAUGGAAUACGAAGCCAGUGGGUUUCAAAAAUGUCUCAUGCUAUAUAGAGGUGGUCAUGUACAUAUAAGGCACAUUAUCCCCUCUCCGUUGGUCGAUGUGGGAUGUUACAAAAAAAAGCUUAAAAACUUUGAGUUUUAAUAAAAAAGAUAAAAAUGUGUUGUAAAUAAAUAGUAUUAAGAAUGACUUUUUAAAGUAAAAAUAUCAUAAUCGUUAAAAAUGAUCAGUAUAAGAAUUGUUUUGUUAAAACUCUCAAAAAAGAAAGGUACCCCCAAGCUGACAACAUACUGAGCCACUAUCACCGCACCGUCAACAUCACCAAGUUUUUUACUUUUUUAUUUUUUGGUUUUUGAGUUUCUAGAGAUAUACCCAUGUUUCCUUUCUCUCACACACCCUCAUCCAACUUCUCCUUGUCUCUCUCUCUCUCUACCUAACUUCAGCAGUAGCUAGAUUGCUUUGAGCUCCACUGUUACCUUACCACACACUACUCUCGCUCUCUCUUUCCCUUCAACCAUGGCUGCCCUUGCUUUUGCAGCUCUGCUUCUCUUAGCCAUGGCUGGCCAGUUAAGUAAGAACACAUUUAUGUAUUUUCCAUAUAUAUUUUUUUUGGUGAAAUGGGUAUUUUUCUCUACCAUAUUUCCUAUAUUUUACUUAUCUAAUGAAGCCAAUAAACCAUUUUAGUUUUUUUUUUUUAAAUGCCAAUUUCCCUUACUAGUAAUGUGUUCAUUUUUCCUUCUAACUUGUAUUUAUGUUAAAGAUUUCAUAUUUCUCUUAAAGUUUGCAUUUUUGGGGUUUCAAUUAAAAAGAAAAAAAGAUCUGAUCUUUGGUCUUCCUACCAUAUAUAAAUUCACCCCUUUUAAUAUUUUGAGAGUCUGAUUUAUUUAUUUAUUUGUGGGAAAUAUGUUUAUGUAGGA
RNAcentral lists this long non-coding RNA (17521 nucleotides) under Malus domestica (apple). RNAcentral's name for it is "long non-coding RNA (MDOM_LNC014356)". The stretch from base 15420 to 15835 matches the Rfam family "Bacterial large subunit ribosomal RNA", at positions 23 to 557 of the family's 2925-position model. Lineage: Eukaryota; Viridiplantae; Streptophyta; Magnoliopsida; Rosales; Rosaceae. The record is from RNAcentral.